Molecule: ribosomal RNA, 151 nt
Filed under: Gibbaranea occidentalis
Lineage: Eukaryota; Metazoa; Arthropoda; Arachnida; Araneae; Araneidae
Description: partial 12S ribosomal RNA
Source: RNAcentral
ACUCUCCACGAUAUCUUUCACUUUUAUUUAUAUUUUAUAUACCACCAUCUUUUAGGAUUAAUAUAAAUAUUCUUUCCUUAAUAGAAACUUCUCAUAAGUUAGGUAAAGGUGUAGACUAUAUAAAAGAUAAGAUGGGUUACAUUAAGAAAUA